GAUGAACGCUAGCGGUAGGCUUAACACAUGCAAGUCGAGGGGCAGCAUGGUCUUAGCUUGCUAAGGCUGAUGGCGACCGGCGCACGGGUGCGUAACGCGUAUGCAACUUGCCUCACAGAGGGGGAUAACCCGUCGAAAGACGGACUAAUACCGCGUACACUCUAUGUUGGGCAUCCAAUGUAGAGGAAAUGUAAUUCGCUGUGAGAUAGGCAUGCGUUCCAUUAGCUAGGUGGUGAGGUAACGGCUCACCAAGGCGACGAUGGGGAGGGGAACGGAGAGGUUGACCCCCCGGACUGGAACCGAGACACAGACCACACCGCUACGGGACGGAGCAGUAUGGAAUAUAAUGCAAGGGGCGAGGACCUGAACCAGCCAAGUCGCGUGAAGGAGGACUGGCUUAGGAAUUCUAAGCUUCUUGUAAACAAGAAUAGCAAGAGUCACGGGUGGCUCCCUGACGGUACCGAAUGAAUAAGCACCGGCUAACUCCGUG
Molecule: ribosomal RNA, 490 nt
Filed under: uncultured bacterium
Lineage: Bacteria
Description: partial 16S ribosomal RNA
Rfam family: Bacterial small subunit ribosomal RNA
Source: RNAcentral